CAGUGUGGUAGAGAUUAACCUGUGAGCGCAUGGUGUAUUAAUGCAGCACUAAUUCACACAUAGUAUAAAGAUACAGCAUUGGGCACCGGAUACAAAGAUAGUGAUAGGCACACAGGGUUUAGUUUUAGUUUUGGGUACAGGGUGCAGUGAUAGGCACACAGGGUUUAGUUGUAGUUUUGGGUACAGGAUGCAGUGAUAGGCACACAGGGUUUAGUUUUGGGUACAGGGUGCAGUGAUAGGCACACAGGGUUUAGGUUUAGUUUUGGGUACAGGGUGCAGUGAUAGGCACACAGGGUUUAGUUGUAGUUUUGGGUGCAGGAUGCAGCGAUAGGCACACAGGGUUUAGUUGUAGUUUUAGGUACAGGAUGCAGUGAUAGGCACACAGGGUUUAGUUGUAGUUUUAGGUACAGGAUGCAGUGAUAGGCACACAGGGUUUAGUUGUAGUUUUGGGUACAGGAUGCAGUGAUAGACACACGUUGCAGAGUUGUAGUUUUAGGUACAGUGUGCAGUGAUAGGCACACAGGGUUUAGUUGUAGUUUUGGGUACAGGGUGCAGUGAUAGACACACGUUGCAGAGUUGUAGUUUUAGGUACAGGGUGCAGUGAUAGGCACACAGGGUUUAGUUGUAGUUUUGGGUACAGGGUGCAGUGAUAGGCACACAGUGUCUAGUUUAAGUUUUGGGUACAGGGUGCAGUGAUAGGCACACAGGGUUUAGUUGUAGUUUUGGGUACAGGAUGCAGUGAUAGGCACACAGUGUCUAGUUUAAGUUUUGGGUACAGGGUGCAGUGAUAGGCACACAGGGUUUAGUUUUAGUUUUGGUUACAGGAUGCAGUGAUAGGCACACAGUGUUUAGUUUUGGUUUUGGUUACAGGAUGCAGUGAUAGGCACACAGUGUUUAGUUUUGGUUUUGGGUACAGGAUGCAGUGAUAGGCACACAGUGUUUAGUUUUGGGUACAGUGUGCAGUGAUAGGC
Pelobates fuscus (common spadefoot toad) is the source of this 971-nucleotide long non-coding RNA. RefSeq lists it as uncharacterized. Lineage: Eukaryota; Metazoa; Chordata; Amphibia; Anura; Pelobatidae. The record is from RefSeq and is a predicted model, not a curated record. The transcript is spliced from 9 exons.